This 886-nucleotide ribosomal RNA is filed under the name uncultured bacterium. RNAcentral describes it as "bacterial SSU rRNA". It matches the Rfam family "Bacterial small subunit ribosomal RNA", at positions 510 to 1397 of the family's 1533-position model. The record is from RNAcentral.
AGCAGCCGCGGUAAUACGAAGGGACCUAGCGUAGUUCGGAAUUACUGGGCUUAAAGAGUUCGUAGGUGGUUAAAAAAGUUGGUGGUGAAAUCCCAGAGCUUAACUCUGGAACUGCCAUCAAAACUUUUUAGCUAGAGUAUGAUAGAGGAAAGCAGAAUUUCUAGUGUAGAGGUGAAAUUCGUAGAUAUUAGAAAGAAUACCAAUUGCGAAGGCAGCUUUCUGGAUCAUUACUGACACUGAGGAACGAAAGCAUGGGUAGCGAAGAGGAUUAGAUACCCUCGUAGUCCAUGCCGUAAACGAUGUGUGUUAGACGUUGGAAAUUUAUUUUCAGUGUCACAGUGAAAACAAUAAACACACCGCCUGGGGAGUACGACCGCAAGGUUAAAACUCAAAUGAAUUGACGGGGACCCGCACAAGUAGUGGAGCAUGUGGUUUAAUUCGAAGAUACGCGCAGAACCUUACCAACACUUGACAUGUUCGUCGCGACUCUAAGAGAUUAGAGUUUUCGGUUCGGCCGGACGAAACACAGGUGCUGCAUGGCUGUCGUCAGCUCGUGUCGUGAGAUGUUGGGUUAAGUCCCGCAACGAGCGCAACCCUUACUUUUAGUUGCCAUCAUUUAGUUGGGCACUCUGAAAGAACUGCCAGUGAUAAGCUGGAGGAAGGUGGGGAUGACGUCAAGUCCUCAUGGCCCUUACGUGUUGGGCUACACACGUGCUACAAUGGUAUCUACAACAGGAAGCAAGAUGGCAACAUUAAGCAAAUCCUAAAAAGAUACCUCAGUUCGGAUUGCACUCUGCAACUCGAGUGCAUGAAGCUGGAAUUACUAGUAAUCGCGGAUCAGCGUGCCGCGGUGAAUACGUUCCCGGGUCUUGCACACACCGCCCGU